GAUUGCGGAUCAUCUAAAAAUUGUACGGAUGCUUAUCUACUUAAAAACGACGACCAGCCAUUGCGUAACAGAUGAAACGAAAUAAACUCGAUUGAACGCGUGGUUGUAUCUUGCCCGGAAUAUCAACGUAGGAUGUACCAUCAGUAAUGAUCAACGAAAGUCCUAAAGAAGUGACUCGAAUUGCGAAUUCGUGCUCAGGUGUAUCGAAAUUCUCGAAACACCUUCGAAUUUUUCUUUUAAUUUAACGUGGUGUCUAUAUUUAAUUGUGAUCUUACGUCGAUUCACGUGAUUUCCAAUGACUGAAAUUGAUCGGUGGAUGCAACAGAGAAAGAAGCUAAAAGAAAAAGAAAAAAAUUCUAUUCAAUAUUUGCACGCUUCGAAACACUCACAUGUGUAUAGAGAUCUUGGUCGUUCGAAGGCAAGCUGGAUUGAGAUAGCAACGACAGGCAGCUAUUAAGGUCAACAACGGAUUUCAGGAAAAAUCGAUAGACCGGAUAGAACGACCCUCGAUGGAUAUCGGCCUGUUUAGAAUCAAGGGCUGCAUAGAAGAAGCGAACAAGAUCAGCCUGCUGUGAAGUGUCAAAAACUGCUCGUGGCUAGCAGCCAAUAAAGCAACAAAAGGGAGAAAGCUGGAAAUAGCUCGGCUACCAGAAAACAAUAAAGCAGUUGAGGCAUUAUGCAAUGAAAAUCUCGUUUUACUUAAACAGCAUUACCGAAAUCUUACAAUAUAGGCGGAUAAGUACGGAUAAACAUUGUAACCGAAGCGACUAAAAUCAUUGAAAUAAAAAAUAAAAUCUUUAAUUACCUUUCGGCAAAAUAUUCCCUUUAAAUUGAAUUCCAAUCGAUAAAGUAUAUUUUAAUUUGUUUUUAGAUUUAAAAGUAAAGAUUUAACUUUCAGUCUAUUAUUUCCCCUCUACGUACAUAAACGUUGCACAAGACGUUAAAUAAUUACAAAGCUAAGGAAAAUGAAAUGGCUCAAGUUUCUAAUAAAAAUGUUUAUUGCAUUAGUUUGAUGAUUGAAAUUUUUAUAACGUAACUGUAGCAACGUUUUAUAUGUAUUUAUUACGUCAAAGAAACAUACAUUUUAGACGUUCUAUUGAACCAGAAAUUCAAGAAUCGCAAA
Molecule: long non-coding RNA, 1123 nt
Organism: Bombus terrestris (buff-tailed bumblebee)
Lineage: Eukaryota; Metazoa; Arthropoda; Insecta; Hymenoptera; Apidae
Exons: 3
Source: RefSeq, a predicted model, not a curated record